ACUAUUUUGACAGAAAUUGUAAUAAAUUUAGAAUUUAUGUAUGUAAAUAUUUAUUUACAAAUAGUA
RNAcentral lists this transfer RNA (66 nucleotides) under Sciara ruficauda. RNAcentral's name for it is "tRNA-Leu". Lineage: Eukaryota; Metazoa; Arthropoda; Insecta; Diptera; Sciaridae. The record is from RNAcentral.